UACGUAGGGGGCAAGCGUUGUCCGGAAUCAUUGGGCGUAAAGCGCGUGUAGGCGGCCAGGUAAGUCCGUUCUGAAAGCCCGGGGCUCAACCCCGGGAGGCGGAUGGAUACUGCUUGGCUCGAGUCCGGAAGAGGCGAGUGGAAUUCCCGGUGUAGCGGUGAAAUGCGCAGAUAUCAGGAGGAACACCGGUGGCGAAGGCGGGUCUCUGGGCCGAUACUGACGCUGAGGAGCGAAAGCGUGGGGAGCGAACAGG
RNAcentral lists this ribosomal RNA (253 nucleotides) under uncultured bacterium. Its description in RNAcentral is "partial 16S ribosomal RNA". It matches the Rfam family "Bacterial small subunit ribosomal RNA", at positions 524 to 776 of the family's 1533-position model. The record is from RNAcentral.